Molecule: ribosomal RNA, 468 nt
Filed under: uncultured bacterium
Lineage: Bacteria
Description: partial 16S ribosomal RNA
Rfam family: Bacterial small subunit ribosomal RNA
Source: RNAcentral
GACGAACGCUGGCGGCGUGCUUAACACAUGCAAGUCGAACGGAAAGGCCCUGCUCUUGUGGCGUGCUCGAUAGGCGAACGGGUGAGUAACACGUGAGUAACCUGCCCUUGACUUUGGGGUAACUUCAGGAAACUGGGGCUAAUACCGGAUAUGAGCUCCUGCUGCGUGGUGGGGGAUGGAAAGUUUCGGCUGUUGUGGAUGGACUCGCGGCUUAUCAGCUUGUUGGUGGGGUAGUGGCUUACCAAGGCUUUGACGGGUAGCCGGCCUGAGAGGGUGACCGGCCACAAUGGGACUGCGGUACGGACCAGACUCGUACGGGAGGCAGCAGUGGGGAAUAUUGCACAAUGGGCGGAAGCCUGAUGCAGCAACGCCGCGUGCGGGAUGACGGCCUUCGGGUUGUAAACCGCUUUCGCCUGUGACGAAGAGUGAGUGACGGUAACGGGUAAAGAAGCACCGGCUAACUACGUG